CUCCGGUGAUCCCGCCGGACCCGACUGCUAUCAGAGUGGGACUAAGCCAUGCGAGUCAACAUAGCAAUAUGUGGCAUACGGCUCAGUAACACGUAGUCAACAUGCCCAGGGGACGUGGAUAACCUCGGGAAACUGAGGAUAAACCGCGAUAAGUCACUACUUCUGGAAUGGGUAAUGACUCAAAUCUACAUGGCCCCUGGAUUGGACUGCGGCCGAUCAGGCUGUUGGUGAGGUAAUGGCCCACCAAACCUGUAACCGGUACGGGCUCUGAGAGGAGGAGCCCGGAGAUGGGCACUGAGACAAGGGCCCAGGCCCUAUGGGGCGCAGCAGGCGCGAAACCUCUGCAAUAGGCGAAAGCCUGACAGGGUUACUCUGAGUGAUUUCCGUUAAGGAGAUCUUUUGGCACCUCUAAAAAUGGUGCAGAAUAAGGGGUGGGCAAGUCUGGUGUCAGCCGCCGCGGUAAUACCAGCUCCUCGAGUGGUCGGGGCGAUUAUUGGGCCUAAAGCAUCCGUAGCCUGUUCUGUAGGUCCUCUGUUAAAUCCAACGGCUUAACCGUUGGCCCGCAGAGGAUACCGCAGGACUAGGAGGCGGGAGAGGUGGACGGUACUCCACGUGUAGGGGUAAAAUCCUUUGAUCCGUGGAAGACCACCAGUGGCGAAGGCGGUCCACCAGAACGCGCUCGACGGUGAGGGAUGAAAGCUGGGGGAGCGAACCGGAUUAGAUACCCGGGUAGUCCCAGCCGUAAACGAUGCGAGCUAGAUGAUCCGGUCGCAAAUCGCGAUCGGAGUGUCGCAGGGAAGCCGUUAAGCUCGCCGCCUGGGGAGUACGGUCGCAAGACUGAAACUUAAAGGAAUUGGCCGGGGAGCA
RNAcentral lists this ribosomal RNA (867 nucleotides) under uncultured archaeon. RNAcentral describes it as "bacterial SSU rRNA". It matches the Rfam family "Archaeal small subunit ribosomal RNA", at positions 1 to 878 of the family's 1478-position model. The record is from RNAcentral.